Molecule: non-coding RNA, 32 nt
Filed under: Mus musculus (house mouse)
Lineage: Eukaryota; Metazoa; Chordata; Mammalia; Rodentia; Muridae
Source: RNAcentral
UGGCAUCCAUUGCAACUUAGGUGCCGGUCCUC